This 492-nucleotide ribosomal RNA is filed under the name uncultured bacterium. RNAcentral describes it as "partial 16S ribosomal RNA". It matches the Rfam family "Bacterial small subunit ribosomal RNA", at positions 29 to 507 of the family's 1533-position model. The record is from RNAcentral.
AGUGAACGCUGGCGGUAGGCCUAACACAUGCAAGUCGAACAGCAGCACAGUAAGAGCUUGCUCUUACGGGUGGCGAGUGGCGGACGGGUGAGGAAUACAUCGGAAUCUACUUUUUCGUGGGGGAUAACGUAGGGAAACUUACGCUAAUACCGCAUACGACCUACGGGUGAAAGCAGGGGAUCUUCGGACCUUGCGCGAUUGAAUGAGCCGAUGUCGGAUUAGCUAGUUGGCGGGGUAAAGGCCCACCAAGGCGACGAUCCGUAGCUGGUCUGAGAGGAUGAUCAGCCACACUGGAACUGAGACACGGUCCAGACUCCUACGGGAGGCAGCAGUGGGGAAUAUUGGACAAUGGGCGCAAGCCUAAUCCAGCCAUACCGCGUGGGUGAAGAAGGCCUUCGGGUUGUAAAGCCCCUUUGUUGGGAAAGAAAAGCAGCAGGUUAAUACCCCGCUGUUCUGACGGUACCCAAAGAAUAAGCACCGGCUAACUUCGUG